Molecule: ribosomal RNA, 497 nt
Filed under: uncultured bacterium
Lineage: Bacteria
Description: partial 16S ribosomal RNA
Rfam family: Bacterial small subunit ribosomal RNA
Source: RNAcentral
GAUGAACGCUGGCGGCGUGCCUAAUACAUGCCAGUCGAGCGAACAGACGAGGAGCUUGCUCCUCUGACGUUAGCGGCGGACGGGUGAGUAACACGUGGAUAACCUACCUAUAAGACUGGGAUAACUUCGGGAAACCGGAGCUCAUACCGGAUAAUAUAUUUAACCGCAUGGUUCAAUAGUGAAAGCCGGUUUUGCUGUCACUUAUAGAUGGAUCCGCGCCGCAUUAGCUAGUUGGUAAGGUAACGGCUUACCAAGGCGACGAUGCGUAGCCGACCUGAGAGGGUGAUCGGCCACACUGGAACUGAACCACGGUCCAGACUCCGACGGGAGGCAGCAGUAGGGAAUCUUCCGCAAUGGGCGAAAGCCUGACGGAGCAACGCCGCGUGAGUGAUGAAGGUCUGCGGAUCGUAAAACUCUGUUAUGAGGGAAGAACAAAUGUGUAAGUAACUAUGCACGUCUUGACGGUACCUAAUCAGAAAGCCACGGCUAUCUACGUG